Molecule: ribosomal RNA, 89 nt
Organism: Ochotona princeps (American pika)
Lineage: Eukaryota; Metazoa; Chordata; Mammalia; Lagomorpha; Ochotonidae
Source: Ensembl
CGUCUACGACCAUAUCACCCUGAACACGCCCAAUCUCGUGUGAUCUCGGAAACUAAGCGGGGUCAGCCCGAGAGGUGGAGUUGCAACGU